AUCACAAGGACUUUUUCAAGGCUUGUAUUGAGGCUGGGUUAACAAGAAAAAAUUGGUUCUUCUGGAAUGCAAAAUCCUUGAGUUAAGAGAGCAAUCAUAUUGUUCAAACUUUAAGCACAACUCCCUUUCUCACCAAUCUCACUUAUUCCCAACUUCUUUCGUUUUCUUUUACAUUGAGCUCAUUUUCAUGCUUUUCUUCUUUUCUUUUCUUUUACUCAUGUAUUUUUCUUUCUCAACAUUUGAACUCAAUGUUUUACAAUUG
This 262-nucleotide long non-coding RNA is filed under the name Vigna radiata. Its description in RNAcentral is "long non-coding RNA (VRAD_LNC006097)". The record is from RNAcentral. Lineage: Eukaryota; Viridiplantae; Streptophyta; Magnoliopsida; Fabales; Fabaceae.